AAACGACUCUCGGCAACGGAUAUCUCGGCUCACGCAUCGAUGAAGAACGUAGCAAAAUGCGAUACUUGGUGUGAAUUGCAGAAUCCCGUGAACCAUCGAGUUUUUGAACGCAAGUUGCUCACAAAGCCUUUUGGCCGAGGGCACGUCUGCCUGGGCGUCACGC
Molecule: ribosomal RNA, 163 nt
Filed under: Artemisia japonica
Lineage: Eukaryota; Viridiplantae; Streptophyta; Magnoliopsida; Asterales; Asteraceae
Also listed under: 5 other names
Description: 5.8S ribosomal RNA
Rfam family: 5.8S ribosomal RNA
About the family: 5.8S ribosomal RNA (5.8S rRNA) is a component of the large subunit of the eukaryotic ribosome. It is transcribed by RNA polymerase I as part of the 45S precursor that also contains 18S and 28S rRNA.
Source: RNAcentral